UUCUGGGAUACUGAGAAAUCACCUGAGAGAACGAGUUAGAAAACCUAUUCAGUCUGAUAUGAUGAUUGUGAUGGCGAGCGUUUACAACGAGGGAAAAAAAGAAAGAAAAAGAAUCUGCUGAUGACCGUUUCCACUACAUGAGCAUCAAAACAUCUGUCAAAUAUAGAAUCUGUUUCAGUCUCACCACCACUGCUACUGUACACUAAAGUCUGCAAAUAUAUCACAGCAAGGACGACGUCACACAAAUGUCUUUUUUCUUCUUCUUUUUCAAAAUAAAACAUCCAAAAAUAUUCAACAUCUUACAAGAUAUCUAGAGGUUAAAGUCAUACAAAGUGUGCAAAUGUCACCAAACGCUCAUGAGACGACUCCAAAUGAAGGCACCAUACAUUUAGUUUCCACUCCAUCACAUGAACUGUGGCAGCCUGUCUGAUACCAAAUUUGACUAAGACCGCCCACUAACCAAAAAAACAAAAGGGAAUAAAUGAAAAUAAAAUGAAAAUGAAACAAGCAAAAUAAAACACAGAUGUAGUGCUUUUUCAUUUCCGGAAAAAUUGUAGUCAGUAGUGACGGAGUACCAGUUAUGCCUUGAUGCCAUUUAACAACCAGCCCACAUUUUAACACACUUCAGACAGAAUCGGAGCUGAAUAUGGAAGUCAUUGGUGAAUUUCUUGCAGUAGUUCACAUGAUACCCACAGCAGUGGUUUCAAUGUUGAAUCCAGUAAUUCUGACACUUUUUUGCAAAGGACACUGGUCCAUUUUUCCCCCUUAUGAAAAUACAUGGACCAUCUGAUGUUACACUCCCAUUUAAGUGAGAAUUUGGCAAUGACCUCAUUUCUGUAUGGCUAACACUCUGUCCUAACAAUAUAUAUUUUUGUACAAGGGUUCAAUAAAUUGGCUAAAAAGGAAGUGGCUAGCAGUGAUGUGGCGACCAAAGACCAUUAACACUCAAUGACUUUCAACGUUUUCAAGCAAUGACUGGCAAAAUAACCACGGGGCGUGGGAAGUGGGAGUUUCAGCGCUUUCCCCAACUUUGAGGCAAGCAAGUGCAGCGACUACCAAUGAGAGGGCAGGAUAGUGCUAAUUGAUAUGAGCAUGUGGUAAAUACAUCCCCACUAGUGUUCAACCUUUGUUACCAUCACCGUCUGCCCACUCACUGAUAUCCAAACAGUAUGGCUCCUUAAAAGUCCUUCCACCUGGCUCUACCUCCUACAGUUCACAGAUGAUUACUACAAGCAGAUCCAUCUAUGGAAGACUAAAUUAAUCAAAAAUAAAAGACCUCAUAUAUACAUCUAUGUUAUUACACCUAAAAUAUCAAAAUGCACAUUAAUUUUUUUAAAAUGACAUUUUUUAAAUUUCCUUUAAAAUUAAUUUAAAAUUCCUUUUUUUUUUUUUUUUCCAAAUUUCACUUCAGUGGUCUGUCCCAGGUCAUUUGAUGUGUCACUUCCUGUCAUCCUACUUCUGUACUGCACUGGCUAAUCAAAGGCCUGAAAACCCCCCAAAUUAAACUUAAAAUUAAAUAAAUGAAAAGGAAAAUUUAAAAAAAAUGGUAAGAACAAGUUUAAGAAACAGAAACAAAGAUAUGAAUUCAUGUCACAGUUUAUGAAAUGAAGCCUACAUUUGAUUUUAAUAUUUUUAACACUGAGUCAUCAUUUCAUUUUUAAUUUCGGCAGUUCUGGUCCUCCACAAUACUAUAUUUGAUAUACACGCCUGCGUAAGCAUUAAAGAUAUAAUUAAAGUAAUUACAGCCAGAAAUGGUGAUGCUUUCCUGGUGCAAAUGUUUUCUGUGUUUAAAGGUACUUCUAAAUUCAUGAACUUAACACAAAAAGGGCAACUGCCAGUGCUAUCCUUUUAGCCGCUUAAUAGAUGCAUCUAUUGUAUAAACUUGAAAAUCCUAGAUGAUUUUCAGAAAAGCUGACCUCUGACCUUGAGGUCAAGGUCACUGUGAUUUAAACUUAUACAAGAUUUUUAUUAGACACAACUAUAAAAGUUGACUUCAGAAACUUGGCUGGGUGAUGACAAUACACCAUCAGCCUUUCAAAACUGAGGCAUUAAGACUGCUUAUAUAUUUACUUAAAAAAAUUAAAAAACAAAACAAAAACCAACUACAUCAACAGAAUGUAAAGAAGCAACUGCUUCGAAUUUGUCAAACACAUCUGUGUACUGUGUUGAAGUGACAUCAACUGAUGUUAAAACAGGCCUGUGUCGUUGUUUCGUGUAGUACCACGAGAUGGCACAGUGAGUUACCCAAGAGCAGAUUCCCAUUUCCAAGGCUAACCUGGUAAAAUGCAAAUCGUCUAGAGGAAACAGGGCUGAGAGAAACGUUGGAAGUUUAACGAACAGCAGCACACAUCUGAACACGUUUUAUUACACCUGCUGUUAAAAAUCUGCUCCCUGGUGGUGACAUUUGCAGAGGGUAAAUAAAAAGGGUACCUUUAAAGACAAAACGGCACCUCUGAAAGGGCCAUUUUCACCAUUUAACAAAAUAUUUGUAGGUUAAGAAGAAUUUUAUAGGUGAAAGACUCAUGACUUCAAAGCCCUGACUACUGUUAACACCUUCAUCUGGUUAGUUUUAAUGAGCACAGUCUCCUUUUUCCCCUCAUUGUGAAACUCAGUCAUGAUAAGUGUCUUUAAACAUUCACAGGGAAACUUUAAUACUCUUCUUUUAGACAGUUCUGUAAGCAGUGGAGUGAAAAAGUAAAGAAAAAAAAAUUACCUCUUGCCAUGCAUAAACCCUGAAUCGUAGUUCAGCAAUGAUGGUGCACUAAUACUGAUAAGAGAUGCAUGACACUCAACUUCACUGCACACCAAAGUUCAAAUUCACAGAGCCACGCUCCUAAAGACAUUUCAGCAAACUGUCACUGAAAACGAGGCUCAAGUCUUCCUCACAGAGGACAAGAGGCACAGUUCAUCCUCUGUCGAGUAUGACCUAGGGGGGUGGGGGGGGGGAGAAAAAAAACCCACACAAAAGAAAGAUAAUGGCACGAAAAAGGUCAGAAGACAAAGUGUCCAUGUGCAAAAGUUCCCUUUUAAGACAGAAGAUGUCAGAAGCGGCUGUAGAUCUAAAGAUAACAAAAAGCAUGCAUGUCCUUCGUUGGCUGGAGUACAGAAGGUUUGUUUGGCUUUCAACCAAAGUCCAUAUUUCAUCUACUAUAUGACACUCCAAGCUAAGACUUCAUCAGCUAUAGAUCUCCAAACAAGCAAUGCCUCCUCACUUUGCCCAAAAGUCUACAUGAACCUGAUGGCAGGUUACAGUUGGCACUAAAACUUUUUCUUAAAUGGAUCUCCAGUGUCAGCCCGAGUCUGCAGCUCACAGACUCGGGCUAGACAGUAAAUUUGUGAGGAGAGGUUCUCUGGGUAAAAACUAGGGUGGACAUUUCUAAGCAAAGAGUGAUGAUUUCUCAAACGAUUGUGUGCAGUUGUGGCUAGCUUGCGACAUGUUAGCUCUACCUGGUGGACUUUGCAGUGGACUUACUAAGUAAAACAGUUCUCAUCGAGUGGAAUCACCGUCUUCCACUCCACUGCAUCAAUUCAAUGUGUUACAGUGGAGGGUUUGCAAAAACUACACACCUGGAGAGCAGAAGAAUAAAUCCACUGAUAUACAUACACGUUUCUAUGCAGUGCAUAAUUAAAGUCAAUAAGCUAAAAUAAUUAACAGAAGACCAUCCCGUGAGCAGCUUCUGCUGAACGGCCCGUCCUUUUCUACACAACAAGAUGAGCUCUGGCCGUCCUUUAGUCUAUUUAGUUGUUUAAUGGUGACCACCAAUGCCGCGUCUUAUAGUCAUCUGCACAUAGUAGUAACGUGUUACAGUAGCUCACUAGAAAAAACAAAAAUCGGGGAAAAUAUGUAUUUGAAGAUAACGGAUACACUUAGAAUUUAAUAAGCAUUCAAAUAUUUGAAAGCCAUGGCCAUUCCAAGCACAGCUGAUGGAACUUUCAACCCCUACUGGUGCAAUUCCACUUUGUUGCAUCUUUAGGUUUUCUAAUGUGCAUAUAGACAACGCAAAGUGACGCUGCGCUGGGUUAACUCGCUGAGAAACUAACGUACUAGUGGGAGAGCACUGAAUCAUAGGUGACCUCAUUUACAUACGGCAACAGUUAUUUUAUCAGGACGUUACCGUCUUUUUUCUAUUAGUUCUACUAAACCUUUUGGGCUGUCUUUAGGUAAAAUGAUUCUUGUAAAAAGGGCACUAAACAGAUACAUUACACCACUUGCCCAAUAUUCAGGCUGCUAACAGAGUCCAUGAUGUUGUAAGACGUUCCACAUGGUCACUUGCUUCUAGAGUUAUCUAACAUCUUAAAACGAGAAAGAAAAUCAUCCUUUACAGGCUUAAAUGUCCCGCCAGUGGAGUUUCCUCCACCUGAAACACAUCUGAGAUGUCACGCUGGAUUUACACGACUAGGUUACACCUGAAAGGUCGUUUUCAACAUGCAGCAGUGUUUUUGUGCAUCGGGGCAUACUUUGCUUUAUUGAGUCGUCCAUAAAAGGCAAACUCUAGGCCAGGGGUCCCCAAUCUCAGUCCACGAGGGCCGGUGUCCCUGCAGGUUUUAGAUGUGUCCUUUAUCCACCACAGCUGAUUUAAAUGGAUAAAUUAC
Molecule: long non-coding RNA, 4593 nt
Organism: Oreochromis aureus
Lineage: Eukaryota; Metazoa; Chordata; Actinopteri; Cichliformes; Cichlidae
Source: Ensembl